This 372-nucleotide ribosomal RNA is filed under the name uncultured organism. RNAcentral's name for it is "bacterial SSU rRNA". It matches the Rfam family "Bacterial small subunit ribosomal RNA", at positions 526 to 896 of the family's 1533-position model. The record is from RNAcentral.
CGUAGGGUCCGAGCGUUGUCCGGAAUUAUUGGGCGUAAAGGGCUCGUAGGCGGUCCGUCACGUCGGGAGUGAAAACUCAGGGCUCAACCCUGAGCGUGCUUCCGAUACGGGCGGACUAGAGGUAUGCAGGGGAGAACGGAAUUCCUGGUGUAGCGGUGGAAUGCGCAGAUAUCAGGAGGAACACCGGUGGCGAAGGCGGUUCUCUGGGCAUUACCUGACGCUGAGGAGCGAAAGCAUGGGGAGCGAACAGGAUUGGAUACCCUGGUAGUCCAUGCCGUAAACGUUGGGCGCUAGGUGUGGGGACCUUCCACGGUUUCCGUGCCGCAGCUAACGCAUUAAGCGCCCCGCCUGGGGAGUACGGCCGCAAGGCUA